Molecule: ribosomal RNA, 495 nt
Filed under: uncultured bacterium
Lineage: Bacteria
Description: partial 16S ribosomal RNA
Rfam family: Bacterial small subunit ribosomal RNA
Source: RNAcentral
GACGAACGCUGGCGGCGUGCCUAAUACAUGCAAGUAGAACGCUGAAGGAGGAGCUUGCUUCUCUGGAUGAGUUGCGAACGGGUGAGUAACGCGUAGGUAACCUGCCUGGUAGCGGGGGAUAACUAUUGGAAACGAUAGCUAAUACCGCAUAAGAGUAGAUGUUGCAUGACAUUUGCUUAAAAGGUGCAAUUGCAUCACUACCAGAUGGACCUGCGUUGUAUUAGCUAGUUGGUGGGGUAACGGCUCACCAAGGCGACGAUACAUAGCCGACCUGAGAGGGGGAGCGGCCACACUGGGACGGAGACACGGCCCAGACUCCUACGGGAGGCAGCAGGAGGGAAUCGUCGGCAAUGGACGGAAGUCUGACCGAGCAACGCCGCGUGAGUGAAGAAGGUUGUCGGAUCGGAAAGCUCUGUUGUAAGAGAAGAACGAGUGUGAGAGUGGAAAGUUCACACUGUGACGGUAUCUUACCAGAAAGGGACGGCUAACUACGUG